Molecule: ribosomal RNA, 400 nt
Filed under: uncultured bacterium
Lineage: Bacteria
Description: bacterial SSU rRNA
Rfam family: Bacterial small subunit ribosomal RNA
Source: RNAcentral
UGGGGAAUAUUGCACAAUGGGCGCAAGCCUGAUGCAGCAACGCCGCGUGAGUGAUGAAGGUCUUCGGAUUGUAAAGCUCUGUCUUUGGGGACGAUAAUGACGGUACCCAAGGAGGAAGCCACGGCUAACUACGUGCCAGCAGCCGCGGUAAUACGUAGGUGGCAAGCGUUGUCCGGAUUUACUGGGCGUAAAGGGUGCGUAGGUGGAUAUUUAAGUCAGAUGUGAAAUCCCUGGGCUCAACCCAGGACCUGCAUUUGAAACUGGAUGUCUAGAGUGCGGGAGAGGUAAGUGGAAUUCCUAGUGUAGCGGUGAAAUGCGUAGAGAUUAGGAAGAACACCAGUGGCGAAGGCGACUUACUGGACCGUAACUGACACUGAGGCACGAAAGCGUGGGUAGCAAA